This 510-nucleotide ribosomal RNA is filed under the name uncultured microorganism. Its description in RNAcentral is "bacterial SSU rRNA". It matches the Rfam family "Bacterial small subunit ribosomal RNA", at positions 9 to 517 of the family's 1533-position model. The record is from RNAcentral.
GAGUUUGAUCUUGGCUCAGGAUGAACGCUGGCGGCGUGCUUAGCACAUACAAGUCGAACGAAGCGCCUUAUUUGAUUUUCUUCGGAACUGAAGAUUUGGUGACUGAGUGGCGGACGGGUGAGUAACGCGUGGGUAACCUGCCCUGUACAGGGGGAUAACAAUCAGAAAUGACUGCUAAUACCGCAUAAGACCACAGCACCGCAUGGUGCAGGGGUAAAAACUCCGGUGGUACAGGAUGGACCCGCGUCUGAUUAGCUGGUUGGUGAGGUAACGGCUCACCAAGGCGACGAUCAGUAGCCGGCUUGAGAGAGUGAACGGCCACAUUGGGACUGAGACACGGCCCAAACUCCUACGGGAGGCAGCAGUGGGGAAUAUUGCACAAUGGGGGAAACCCUGAUGCAGCAACGCCGCGUGAGUGAAGAAGUAUUUCGGUAUGUAAAGCUCUAUCAGCAGGGAAGAAGGUGACGGUACCUGACUAAGAAGCCCCGGCUAACUACGUGCCAGCCGCCG